GGAUAUGAGGGGGAAUCUGGCUUUGACAUCCGUCAUCUGAUUUAUCAACAGGGUUGACCCAGCUAUUCUGGCUAGCUAGGCAGAUAUCCCUUUCCUCCCUCACUGCUCCAAGUCUAUCCCUUCUGAAGCUACAUAGUUGAUCAAAAAGGAUGACUUUUUCUGAGAGAGGAGAGACUAUCUUUGCUAGAACCUCCACACAAGCUCUCAAGGGCAUAGUUUUACUU
RNAcentral lists this small nuclear RNA (224 nucleotides) under Nannospalax galili (Upper Galilee mountains blind mole rat). RNAcentral describes it as "7SK RNA (ENSNGAG00000006832.1)". The stretch from base 1 to 189 matches the Rfam family "7SK RNA". Rfam says of the family: 7SK was discovered as an abundant small nuclear RNA in the mid-70s but a possible function has only recently been suggested. Two independent studies have found that 7SK RNA binds the CDK9/cyclin T complex (known as elongation factor P-TEFb). Lineage: Eukaryota; Metazoa; Chordata; Mammalia; Rodentia; Spalacidae. The record is from RNAcentral.